This 145-nucleotide small nucleolar RNA is filed under the name Chinchilla lanigera (long-tailed chinchilla). The record is from RNAcentral. Lineage: Eukaryota; Metazoa; Chordata; Mammalia; Rodentia; Chinchillidae.
CUUACUAUAAAAGCUCAGGUAGACCCUCGUCUUGGCCAGUAAACUUAUGGGUGUUGAAAGUGCAUUAUAAUACGGUAGGAUUUUCUUCAACACCAGCAGAGCUUGCCUGUGUGACUGGAAUUUGACAGUGCUUGCUGCCAUACAC